GAGCACGCGCGUGUGGCAUAUCAAUAAGCGGAGGAAAAGAAACUAACAAGGAUUCCCUUAGUAACGGCGAGUGAAGCGGGAAGAGCUCAAAUUUGAAAUCUUCAAGGUUCUACCUUGACGAAUUGUAGUUUAUAGAAGUGUUUUCUGUUAGUGGAGUGGUAAAAGUUCUUUGGAAUAGGACAUCAUAGAGGGUGAGAAUCCCGUAUUUGGUCAUUCCUCCUAGCGUUGUGAUACACUUUCAACGAGUCGGAUUGUUUGGGAAUGCAGUCCAAAAUGGGUGGUAAAUUUCAUCUAAGGCUAAAUAUUGGCGAGAGACCGAUAGCGAACAAGUACCGUGAGGGAAAGAUGAAAAGAACUUUGAAAAGAGAGUUAAACAGUACGUGAAAUUGUCAAAAGGGAAGCGUUUGACACCAGUGUUGUUUUUUCCGAAAAUCAAUUACGAAUGUUUUGUUUUUGAGGAGUUAUGACUUCAUCGGCUUGCUCCUUUCUUUACGAAACUUUCUUAAUGCACUUUUCGGUUAACAAGUCAACAUCAAUUUCUUUUGUUGUAAAAGGGUAUGAGGAAGGUGGCUUUCUUUUCGGAGAAAGUGUUUAUAGCCUUGUAGCCUCUGCAAGUCGGAGAGAUUGAGGUCUGCAGCGUAGAUCCUUCGGGGUUAGAUACAGUUUGUGCUAAGUUAUAGCUUUUCAUAGACAACUUGUUGACUAUGUUUAGUCUUGUAGCUUACUCGCUGACGCUAUUUUACCUACGCUUAGGAUGUUGAGUAGCGACAUACGCAC
This 777-nucleotide ribosomal RNA is filed under the name uncultured Neocallimastigales. RNAcentral's name for it is "partial large subunit ribosomal RNA". It matches the Rfam family "Eukaryotic large subunit ribosomal RNA", at positions 19 to 649 of the family's 3401-position model. The record is from RNAcentral. Lineage: Eukaryota; Fungi; Neocallimastigomycota; Neocallimastigomycetes; Neocallimastigales.